Rosa rugosa (rugosa rose) is the source of this 610-nucleotide long non-coding RNA. RefSeq lists it as uncharacterized. The record is from RefSeq and is a predicted model, not a curated record. Lineage: Eukaryota; Viridiplantae; Streptophyta; Magnoliopsida; Rosales; Rosaceae. The transcript is spliced from 3 exons.
AUUCUUGAGCUGGUGAACUCAGAUUGAAGUUCUGAACAACUUUCAUGAAGGGAUCGAAGCGAGAAAUUGAAGUUUUUACGUCGGAAUUCAAGCUCGCCGGAUUCUGGAAAUUUUCCGGCCACCGACGCUUUCGAUCAAGAUAUCUCAAGUUUUAGAGCUUAGUUUUGAGUGAUUCUUGAACCACUGUGUUCGCCUUGAAGUUCUGAACAACUCUCUAGAAGUAAUCGAAGCCUGAAAUUGAAUUUUUGACGUCGAAAUCAAGCCUUGCCGGAUUCUGCAAAUUUUCGCCGGAUUCUGGAAAUUUUCCGGCCACCUCGACUGUUUUAGGUGAUUGACGGUCUUCCUUGGGUGAGCGGUUUCGGUGUGUAUUGUGUUAAAUUGAAGACGCAGCGGGAAUAUCGAGCGGGUAAUCCUGCAGGUCAGGAGAAUCAGGGCGGUGAUCGUACGGGUUAGAGUAUUUGUCAUAGAUUUACAGCAAUUGUAAUAGUGAGAUGAGUUAAGCUCAUUUGAGCCUUACAAUUUGAUUUGGUGAGAGUGUGUUGUAAUAAAUAAAUUGAGGAUUUGGUUUAUUGUAAUAUUGAGAGGUGUGAAGUGUGGUUGUUUGUGAGAA